GCUAGGCACAGUGGUGCACAUCUGUAGUCCCAGAUACUCGGGAGGCUGAGGCAGGAGGAUUGCCCAAGCCCAGACAUUCUAAGCUAUAGUGCGCUAUGCAAAUCAGAUAUUCAUACUAAGUUUGGCAUGAAUAUGACUGGCAAUCUCCAGGGAAUAGGGGAACCACCGGUUUGCCUAAGGAGGGGCGAACUGGUCAAAGUCAGAAAUGGAGCAGGUCAAAACUCUCAUGUUAAUCAGUAGUAGGAUGAUGCCUGUGAAUAGCCACUGUACUCCAGCUUGGGCAACAGAGUGAGACUCCCUCUCU
Molecule: signal recognition particle RNA, 304 nt
Filed under: Peromyscus maniculatus bairdii (prairie deer mouse)
Lineage: Eukaryota; Metazoa; Chordata; Mammalia; Rodentia; Cricetidae
Description: Metazoan signal recognition particle RNA (ENSPEMG00000004997.2)
Rfam family: Metazoan signal recognition particle RNA
About the family: The signal recognition particle (SRP) is a universally conserved ribonucleoprotein. It is involved in the co-translational targeting of proteins to membranes.
Source: RNAcentral